GCCCGGGUGGCGAAACAGGUAGACGCAGGGGACUUAAAAUCCCCCGGCCUCGCGGCCGUGCGGGUUCGAUUCCCGCCCCGGGCACCA
This 87-nucleotide transfer RNA is filed under the name Sedimenticola thiotaurini. RNAcentral's name for it is "tRNA-Leu". It matches the Rfam family "tRNA". From Rfam's summary of the family: Transfer RNA (tRNA) molecules are approximately 80 nucleotides in length. The record is from RNAcentral. Lineage: Bacteria; Pseudomonadati; Pseudomonadota; Gammaproteobacteria; Chromatiales; Sedimenticolaceae.